Molecule: small nucleolar RNA, 210 nt
Organism: Sorex fumeus (smoky shrew)
Lineage: Eukaryota; Metazoa; Chordata; Mammalia; Eulipotyphla; Soricidae
Product: small nucleolar RNA U3
Exons: 1
Source: RefSeq, a predicted model, not a curated record
AAGACUAUACUUUCAGGAAUCAUUGCUAUAGUUCGUUACUAGAGAAGUUUUUCUGAUCAUGUAGCACAACCGAAACCGCGAAAAGAAGCCGAACCAUCCGCUUCUGAGCGGGAAGGCGGUUCUAGGUGUCGCUUUUGCAACUGUCUUUUACCAUUGAUGAUUCUUCUCUUUCCUAGAAGAGAGAGAGGGAGAGGAUACAGUCUGAGUGGC